RNAcentral lists this ribosomal RNA (885 nucleotides) under Salmonella enterica subsp. enterica serovar Newport. RNAcentral describes it as "partial 23S ribosomal RNA". It matches the Rfam family "Bacterial large subunit ribosomal RNA", at positions 296 to 1190 of the family's 2925-position model. The record is from RNAcentral. Lineage: Bacteria; Pseudomonadati; Pseudomonadota; Gammaproteobacteria; Enterobacterales; Enterobacteriaceae.
GCCCAGAGCCUGAAUCAGCAUGUGUGUUAGUGGAAGCGUCUGGAAAGGCGCGCGAUACAGGGUGACAGCCCCGUACACAAAAGCGCAUGUGCUGUGAGCUCGAUGAGUAGGGCGGGACACGUGGUAUCCUGUCUGAAUAUGGGGGGACCAUCCUCCAAGGCUAAAUACUCCUGACUGACCGAUAGUGAACCAGUACCGUGAGGGAAAGGCGAAAAGAACCCCGGCGAGGGGAGUGAAAAAGAACCUGAAACCGUGUACGUACAAGCAGUGGGAGCACAGGUUUACCUGUGUGACUGCGUACCUUUUGUAUAAUGGGUCAGCGACUUAUAUUCUGUAGCAAGGUUAACCGUAUAGGGGAGCCGAAGGGAAACCGAGUCUUAACCGGGCGUUAAGUUGCAGGGUAUAGACCCGAAACCCGGUGAUCUAGCCAUGGGCAGGUUGAAGGUUGGGUAACACUAACUGGAGGACCGAACCGACUAAUGUUGAAAAAUUAGCGGAUGACCUGUGGCUGGGGGUGAAAGGCCAAUCAAACCGGGAGAUAGCUGGUUCUCCCCGAAAGCUAUUUAGGUAGCGCCUCGUGAAUUCAUCUCCGGGGGUAGAGCACUGUUUCGGCUAGGGGGCCAUCCCGGCUUACCAACCCGAUGCAAACUGCGAAUACCGGAGAAUGUUAUCACGGGAGACACACGGCGGGUGCUAACGUCCGUCGUGAAGAGGGAAACAACCCAGACCGCCAGCUAAGGUCCCAAAGUCAUGGUUAAGUGGGAAACGAUGUGGGAAGGCCCAGACAGCCAGGAUGUUGGCUUAGAAGCAGCCAUCAUUUAAAGAAAGCGUAAUAGCUCACUGGUCGAGUCGGCCUGCGCGGAAGAUGUAACGGGGCUAAACCAU